RNAcentral lists this ribosomal RNA (506 nucleotides) under uncultured bacterium. Its description in RNAcentral is "partial 16S ribosomal RNA". It matches the Rfam family "Bacterial small subunit ribosomal RNA", at positions 29 to 523 of the family's 1533-position model. The record is from RNAcentral.
AUUGAACGCUGGCGGCAGGCCUAACACAUGCAAGUCGAACGGCAGCACAGAAGAGCUUGCUCUUUGGGUGGCGAGUGGCGGACGGGUGAGUAAUGUCUGGGAAACUGCCCGAUGGAGGGGGAUAACUACUGGAAACGGUAGCUAAUACCGCAUAACGUCGCGAGACCAAAGUGGGGGACCUUCGGGCCUCACACCAUCGGAUGUGCCCAGAUGGGAUUAGCUAGUAGGUGGGGUAAUGGCUCACCUAGGAGACGAUCCCUAGCUGGUCUGAGAGGAUGACCAGCCACACUGGAACUGAGACACGGUCCAGACUGCUACGGGAGGCAGCAGUGGGGAAUAUUGCACAAUGGGCGCAAGCCUGAUGCAGCCAUGCCGCGUGUAUGAAGAAGGCCUUCGGGUUGUAAAGUACUUUCAGCGGGGAGGAAGGCGGUGAGGUUAAUAACCUUGCCGAUUGACGUUACCCGCAGAAGAAGCACCGGCUAACUCCGUGCCAGCCGCCGCGGUAA